RNAcentral lists this ribosomal RNA (900 nucleotides) under Crenosoma melesi. Its description in RNAcentral is "partial large subunit ribosomal RNA". It matches the Rfam family "Eukaryotic large subunit ribosomal RNA", at positions 98 to 923 of the family's 3401-position model. Lineage: Eukaryota; Metazoa; Nematoda; Chromadorea; Rhabditida; Crenosomatidae. The record is from RNAcentral.
CUGGGAAAAGCCCAGCGCUGAAUCUUUCGAUGUUACAUCGUAAAGAAAUGUAGCGUAUAGGUGUAGUUAUCGGUUUGUUUGGCAUAUCCAAAGUUCCUUUGAUAGGGGCCAUAUUCCAGAGAGGGUGCGAGACCUGUGCGGAUAGCGGAACAUGCCGUAUGAUUAUACCUUGGAGUCGGGUUGCUUGAAAGUGCAGCCUUAAGUGGGUGAUAAACUUCAUCUAAGGCUAAAUAUGGACGCGAAUUCGAUAGCAAACAAGUACUGUGAAGGAAAGUUGCAAAGAACUUUGAAGAGAGAGUUCAAGAGAACGUGAAAUCGUUGAAGUGGAACCGGAGAGAGUUGACGUAGUAUGGUGGAUAAGUAUUGCAAGAAUCGCUUCAAACCAUGAAUGUGAUCGAGUAAUAUGUACGUCACCAAUGACUGCGCUGACAGCAUCGACUACACGCUCUGAACCGUGUUGACAUGUUGCCUACUCUAGUAUAUAGAGUGGUGUCUUGUGUUACGUGGUGAAGUUUGUUGUUAUGUUGUUGAUGUUGAUAAGUAUGAUUAUACACCGAGUAUAAUUAUGUCAGUGUAAAAGUCAACCACCUCUCCGACCCGUCUUGAAACACGGACCGAGGAGUGUAACUUGUACGCGAGUCAAUGGGUGGAAAAACCUUAAGGCGAAACGAAAGUGAAGGCACGGUUAACCGGCUGACAUGGGAAACGUGCGGUAUUGUUAGCGAGACGUUACACCAUGGCCCUGUCUUGUCUGCAUGCAGAUGGGCAGCGGUAGAGCGUACAGGUUGCGACCCGAAAGAUGGUGAACUAUGCCUGAGCAGGACGAAGUCAGAGGAAACUCUGGUGGAAGUCCGUAUCGGUUCUGACGUGCAAAUCGAUCGAUAGACUUGGGUAUAGGGG